RNAcentral lists this ribosomal RNA (468 nucleotides) under uncultured bacterium. Its description in RNAcentral is "partial 16S ribosomal RNA". It matches the Rfam family "Bacterial small subunit ribosomal RNA", at positions 28 to 507 of the family's 1533-position model. The record is from RNAcentral.
GACGAACGCUGGCGGCGUGCUUAACACAUGCAAGUCGAACGGAAAGGCCCUGCUUUUGCUGGUUGCUCGUGUGGCGCACGGGUGAGUAUCACGUGUGUAACCUGUCCCUGACUUUGGGAUAUCACUAGGAAACUGGGGCUAUUACCGGAUAUGAUCUUCUGCUGCAUGGUGGUGGUUGGUAAGUUUCGGCGGUUGGGGAUGGACUCGCGGCUUAUCCGCUUGUUUGUGAGGUAGUGGCUUACCAAGGUUUUGACGGCUAGUCGGCCUGAGAGGGUGACCGGCGACAUGAGGACUGCGAGAGGGAGCAGAAUCCUACGGGAAGCAGCGGGGGGGAAUAUUACACAAUGGGCGGAAGCGUGAGGCAGCAGCGCCGCGUGCGGGAUAACGGGCUUCGGGUGAUAAACCGCUGUGGCCUGUGACGAAGCGUGAGUGACGGUAAUGGGUAAAAAAGCAACGGCUAACUACGUG